CUGUGUCCUUGUUUCUCAUCGUCUCUGGUGAGCACAUAAUCAAACAUGGUCAUUUUGGGUCCAGCCUGAGGGGUGGGAAUGGAGGCAGUCCUCAGAGAAAGUGAAGAUAGGUUAAACAGGUACACGGUGGCUGUGCCUCUGAGAAGGUGGCACUAGAGGGGGCCGAGGUCGGGUAGACAGAUUCUGAACACCCGCUGAAGCUGAAGGCAAAGGGUGAGGGGUGUGGUUGCUUGGCCCAAGGCUGGUCCUUCCUGGGUGAGGCCCAGUCGGUCCUCUCUGGAAUCCAGGAUUCCCCUUAUGGACUCCAGGCAACAUGACCCAAAGUCACAAAGUGGGGACAAAUGCUCACCAAGCUCCUCUGAGAUCCCUGUAAUAGCUUUUAUAUAUGGUUUCCUCAAAUUCUUCCCAAAGGUCCAACAAGUAGUUUCCAUUUCCUCACUUUUCAGAGAGCCUGAGUGACUUGUGGAGGUCACAUGCUAUUGAAAGUGUGAGAGUUUGGUCCUUGGCUAAACUCGUGGAGGGGGUGGUCUGCAUGCACUGUGCAACCUGUGGU
RNAcentral lists this long non-coding RNA (553 nucleotides) under Marmota monax (woodchuck). The record is from RNAcentral. Lineage: Eukaryota; Metazoa; Chordata; Mammalia; Rodentia; Sciuridae.